UGGGGAAUAUUGGACAAUGGGCGCAAGCCUGAUCCAGCCAUGCCGCGUGAGUGAUGAAGGCCCUAGGGUUGUAAAGCUCUUUCACCGGUGAAGAUAAUGACGGUAACCGGAGAAGAAGCCCCGGCUAACUUCGUGCCAGCAGCCGCGGUAAUACGAAGGGGGCUAGCGUUGUUCGGAUUUACUGGGCGUAAAGCGCACGUAGGCGGACUUUUAAGUCAGGGGUGAAAUCCCGGGUCUCAACCCCGGAACUGCCUUUGAUACUGGAAGUCUUGAGUAUGGUAGAGGUGAGUGGAAUUCCGAGUGUAGAGGUGAAAUUCGUAGAUAUUCGGAGGAACACCAGUGGCGAAGGCGGCUCACUGGACCAUUACUGACGCUGAGGUGCGAAAGCGUGGGGAGCAAACAGG
RNAcentral lists this ribosomal RNA (404 nucleotides) under Actinomycetes bacterium. Its description in RNAcentral is "Actinobacteria bacterium partial 16S ribosomal RNA". It matches the Rfam family "Bacterial small subunit ribosomal RNA", at positions 355 to 776 of the family's 1533-position model. Lineage: Bacteria; Bacillati; Actinomycetota; Actinomycetes. The record is from RNAcentral.